Long non-coding RNA from Arachis stenosperma, 2450 nucleotides. RefSeq lists it as uncharacterized. The record is from RefSeq and is a predicted model, not a curated record. NCBI's taxonomy places the organism in Eukaryota, Viridiplantae, Streptophyta, Magnoliopsida, Fabales, Fabaceae. The transcript has 2 exons.
AAAAAUAUUCUUUUUAAUUUUUUAUAUUUAAUUUUGUAGGACUGGUUAGUCCUUUUGUCAAUGAUCUCUUUUCAAAACAUACUUACGUGACAUGUUAAUCACUAAUAUAUCUUUUAUUUAAUUUUUAUAAAUAAAAAUAAUCUAAAAAUCACUAAUAUUUAUUAGUUUUACACAAUAAAUUUAGUUAAUGUAUCUGAAAAAGAUAAUAGAAAAAUAAAAAUAAUAACUAAAUAAUCUUGAUAAUUAUCCUUAAAAGACAACGAGACUCUCAACAAAAAAGAAUUUGUUAAUCCUAAUUGGUUCUUAAUGGAUAAAUCAAUAAUUUAACAUGCUAUGUAGGCUUGUUCCGUUAAUAUCGAUAGAAAAUAUUGACAUAGAAGCUAAUCAGUCUCAUAAAAAUAAAGAUCAGAAACAGGAAAAAAUAUUUUUUUUUGUUAAGAGACUCGUUGUCUUUUGAGGUAAUUGUAAUAGAGUGUUUAAGAUUUUUUUUCUCGCUUGAUAAAUGAUAAUUUCACCAUUUUUUCCCGUUAACAUUCUCAAAAACACUUGUAAAGUUGUUGGGUGUAGGCGUAAGUUGGGGUUGUGAUUACGAUCGUACGUUUGAAGAACGAAGGCUUGCAACUUUCAGGUUUGAAGAAGGAAGAAGAAAGAAGCAUAUCGGGAACCUGUCCGGUGCAAAAGAACGGUAUCUCUCUCCUGGUUGCUUGAAGUUGUUCUCCUUCUCAAUUAUGGUCUGCAUUAAGAAGUAGAGUUGCUUACACAUUGUUGAUCAAUAAAGGAGACAUUUUGAGGGGUUCUUUCUUCUUUUUAAAUAAAUCAACUACCUUUCAUAUUAACUUUGGCCUAACUUUAUUGGCAACUAAGAAAUAUAACUGAUUUCAAGUUGGAAGACAUUUAAAUAUGAAGUAUUCACAUUCACGAUAAGAAAUCCAUCAGAACAUACCUUCUCACGCCUUCCAUUGAGAAUAACAGAAGGAAUGGGGACCUUUUCUGCAUGACGAACAGGAUCAUACCUUGAAGGGAAGUAAUUGAUCUGUGAAAUCAAGCAUUCAGUCAACAGAGAAAAUGAAAGAAAGCAGCUAAAAGCAUUUUGCAAUAUCACAAGAGGAGUUACACAUGUACAAAAAAGGUAAAAGCACUACUUUAAAGUGGCAACCAGCUUCUGAUCCAAAAUUUGAAUAAGGAAAUUGCAGACAAAGAUAAAGAUUCACCUCUUCAUCCCUGUGCAUGAAGUUCAUAAAACCCUCAUGAUGAUUGUUGUGGUGAGCACACUUGGGAGCAUUAACAGGGAGCUGCAAAUAGUUUGGUCCAAGCCUGUGCCUUUGUGUGUCAGAGUAAGAGAAUAUCCUAGUCUGAAGCAACUUGUCAUCUGAAUAGUAAACACCAGGUACCACAAUUGCAGGGCAGAAUGCAAUUUGUUCAUUCUCAGCAAAGAAAUUAUCUAUGUUCUUGUUCAAGACCAAACGACCAACAGGCUGCAGGGGCAAGAUGUCCUCGGGCCAGGUCUUAGUCACAUCAAGCGGGUCAAAGUCAAAUUUGUCUUCAUGGUCGGGAUCUAUAGUUUGAAUGUACAGUUUCCACUCAGGAUAGUUGCCCGCAGCAAUCGAAUCAUAAAGAUCUUGAGUAGCAUGGCUGUGGUUGGAUCCUCCAACCUUAACAGCAUCAUCCUCUAACAGACACUUAACCCCACAUGUGGGCCUCCAGUGAAAUUUAACAUAGUGUACUUUCCCAGCCUUGUUGAUCAGAGUAUAAGUGUUAACACCAGAACCAUCCAUAUGCCUGUAAUCUUGUGGGACACCCACAUCAUCAAACAAAAAGGUGAACAUGUGAAGGCUUUCUGGGUGGUGGGAGAAGAAGUCAAGAAUCCUCCAAUUCUCCUGGAUGUGGGACUUGGGAUUGGGUUUAAGGGCAUGGACCAUGUCUGGAAACUUCAUCCCAUCGCGAACAAAGAAGACUGGAAAGUUGUUUCCAACAAGGUCGAAGUUACCCUGUAUUUAGAAAUUGCUUCAAAAGAUAAAUACAUUUAAACAUAUAAAACAUCUUUUAAUAUUUGACAUUGAAAGGUAUAUUUAUUAAAUUGUGUGGUAUGGUCCUAAAUGAUUACCUCCCGGGUGUAAAACUUCACAGCAAAACCACGAGGAUCCCUCAAGGUUUCAGGGCUGCCACGCUCGUGAAUAACAGUUGAGAAACGGACAAUAACGGGUGUCUGAACUCCGGGGGCACGAAGGAAAUCGGCACAUGACAGGUGAGUAAUGUCAUGUGUGACCUCAAAGAAACCCUUUGCACUUGCUCCCCUAGCAUGGACAACACGUUCUGGGAUCCGUUCCCUGUCAAAGUUUGCAAGCUUUUCGACAAGAUGAUAAUCCUCUAGGAGAAUUGGACCUGCCAAAAGGGUUAAAAGAAAAAAAAAAAGAAAGAAAAUUCAGUGAAACAACACUCAUCUAAAUUCA